RNAcentral lists this ribosomal RNA (301 nucleotides) under uncultured bacterium. RNAcentral's name for it is "partial 16S ribosomal RNA". It matches the Rfam family "Bacterial small subunit ribosomal RNA", at positions 509 to 807 of the family's 1533-position model. The record is from RNAcentral.
CAGCAGCCACGGUAAUACGUAGGGCGCAAGCGUUAUCCGGAAUUAUUGGGCGUAAAGAGCUCGUAGGCGGUUUGUCGCGUCUGCCGUGAAAGUCCGGGGCUCAACCCCGGAUCUGCGGUGGGUACGGGCAGACUAGAGUGAUGUAGGGGAGACUGGAAUUCCUGGUGUAGCGGUGAAAUGCGCAGAUAUCAGGAGGAACACCGAUGGCGAAGGCAGGUCUCUGGGCAUUAACUGACGCUGAUGAGCGAAAGCAUGGGGAGCGAACAGGAUUAGAUACCCGCGUAGUCCCUGUCUCUUAUAC